This 335-nucleotide unclassified non-coding RNA is filed under the name soil metagenome. Its description in RNAcentral is "partial contains 5.8S ribosomal RNA, internal transcribed spacer 2, and large subunit ribosomal RNA". The stretch from base 1 to 120 matches the Rfam family "5.8S ribosomal RNA", at positions 35 to 154 of the family's 154-position model. The record is from RNAcentral.
GAUGAAGAACGUAGCGAAAUGCGAUAAGUAAUGUGAAUUGCAGAAUUCAGUGAAUCAUCGAAUCUUUGAACGCACAUUGCGCCCAUUAGUAUUCUAGUGGGCAUGCCUGUUCGAGCGUCAUCUCAACCCUUAAGCCUAGCUUAGUAUUGGGAAUCGACUUUACUGUCGUUCCUCAAAUUCAACGGCGGAUUUAUAGCAAUCUCUGAACGUAGUAAUUUUUUUCCUCGUUUUUGAAAUACUAUAAACCUCAGCCGCUAAACCCCCAAUUUUUUUAUGGUUGACCUCGGAUCAGGUAGGAAUACCCGCUGAACUUAAGCAUAUCAAUAAGCGGAGGA